Molecule: ribosomal RNA, 253 nt
Filed under: uncultured bacterium
Lineage: Bacteria
Description: partial 16S ribosomal RNA
Rfam family: Bacterial small subunit ribosomal RNA
Source: RNAcentral
UACGGAGGAUCCGAGCGUUAUCCGGAUUUAUUGGGUUUAAAGGGAGCGUAGGUGGAUUGUUAAGUCAGCUGUGAAAGUUUGCGGCUCAACCGUAAAAUUGCAGUUGAAACUGGCAGUCUUGAGUACAGUAGAGGUGGGCGGAAUUCGUGGUGUAGCGGUGAAAUGCUUAGGUAUCACGAAGAACUCCGAUUGCGAAGGCAGCUCACUGGACUGCAACUGACACUGAGGCUCGAAAGUGUGGGUAUCAAACAGG